This 9635-nucleotide unclassified non-coding RNA is filed under the name Centruroides sculpturatus (bark scorpion). RNAcentral describes it as "alpha-1,3-mannosyl-glycoprotein 4-beta-N- acetylglucosaminyltransferase C-like, transcript variant X1". The record is from RNAcentral. Lineage: Eukaryota; Metazoa; Arthropoda; Arachnida; Scorpiones; Buthidae.
AUAUCCGGUCAUGCCGUAUCAAUGGAUGUUGUUGUGACGUCUUUUAUGUCGUAUUUUAGCAUUGUUUUCAGUAACAAUGCAUGUGAUCAGAGAAAUAUAAAUAUUAAUGGGGAGUCUUCACGUGUCAAAGUAGCAUCAUGAGAAGAGCAAUUUUGUACAGUUUAUUAAUUGGUAGUUGCUUUUUAAUCUUGUCGAAUUGGUUUUGGACUAAAUACACAUUCUUACCAGAAGGUUUUAAUAAAGCAAAUGCAAACUGUUAUAAGAAUCCAAAAUCUGUUUUAUCCUGUGAAGAAAUGAUCAGAGAAACUAUAUAUACAUGUUCCCUUUCUACACAGCCGAGAUUUUUAUUAUCUAGUCAUCGUAAAGAUAUUACACCAAGUCUCAGUGCAGAAGAUAAUCAAAGAAAAACGUACUUAACAAUCGGUAUACCAAGUGUAAAGCGUAAAACAGAUAAUUAUUUAUUUCAAACUUUGCAGUCGAUAAUUAAAGGAAGCUCGCGGGAAGAAUUGCAAAAUAUUACAAUUGUCGUGUUAGUGGCUGACGUAAAUUCUGUUGAUCGUCAUGGCCGAAUAAGAGAGAUUAAGAGUGCCUUCGAAGAUCACAUUAAGUCUGGACUUUUACAUAUAAUUGAAACAACGCCGUCAAUUUAUCCACCAUUUAUUACUUUACACCAAACAUACAAUGAUUCGAUGGAAAGAGUUCAUUGGCGUUCCAAACAGGUUAUAGAUUUUGCUCUACUGUUUAACUAUUCAGUCUAUUUAUCUGAUUAUUUUCUCAUCCUUGAAGACGAUGUACUUUGCGCUCCUCAUUUCAUAACAGCUGUCCGCGAAUUUAUAGAUUUUCAGCAGGAAAGUUGGGUAUCAUUGACCUUUACUGGAUUUUUAAUUAUUGGAAGACUCUUAAAAUCUUCAGAUUUACCACGUCUGGUUUCAUUUUUGAUGCUUUUUUAUUCAGAAAAACCUAUUGACUUACUUAUAUUACAGUUUAUCGAUCUCCUAGUGCCUUCACAAAGAACAAUCAUCAGAAGAAUACCCAGUCUAUUUCAGCACAUUGGUCUACGUUCAUCUUUAGAUGGUAAGAUUCAGAAAUUAAAAGAUAAAACCUUUACGGGUGUUGCUAAUAAAUUUGAAGCGAAUAACCCAAGUGCCGAUAUCAUUACGACAAUUACAACUUAUGAUAAUUUUUAUCCAGAAUUAGCAUAUAAUUCUGGUUUUGGCUAUUUCUGGGGGCAGUCUCCGAAGAUAAAUGAUACUUUUGACGUCAUUUUUCACAAACCAUCUCUGAUAGAGCAUAUUUAUAUAGAAACUGGUUCGAAAGACCAUAACAAAGAUAUUUUACUCCACGGAGUGGUAGAAGUCGGUUUGCAUUUUAUAAAAAUGGAAUCUAGUAAUAAACCACUUUGUAGUAAUUAUACAAUGGUCGGAAGUUUUAAAAAUGGGAAAGCCGAAAUUAAUUCUUUAAUGCAUCAACAUAUACCAAUUCAGUGUAUUAGAAUUCGAGUUUUACAGAAACAAAGUAAUUGGCUUGUAAUUUCUCAAAUUGCUAUUUUUUAAAAUGGUUAAGUAUGAAGUUGUGUUUAUGCUAUCCAAAAUAAUAAAUAACUUGCAAAAUUUGCCAUUUAUUAUGUUAAUAAUGCCUAAACUUGGAUCUAAUGAAUGGAUGAAUAAAAAUUCUAUCUAGAAUGCAUGAAUUUGCUUCAAUAUACCGGCUUGAAGUAACUUAGAUCCAAACCAAAUGACAAAUAAUCAAAUGGUUAGUUUAUGUGAUGAAGGAAAACUAAAUUUUUAUUCAUCAGUUCAUUCAGAUAGAGUAAAUGUGUCUUUAAAUGAUUGUUUAUGAAUACAAAGAUAAAUUUGAAAAUGUUUAGGUAUAAUUUAUUACUACUACUAUAAAAAAUGUACUUAGUUGUGUGUAUGUGUAUAUGUAUUGUAUAUCUUUAUAGCUAUUUUGUUAAAUGCUAUAAGAUUUCAUGAUAACAUUCAUUGCACUCCAUUAAUAUAAUGUUUUAAUUAUCAUUGCACUCCAUGUUGUCAAAUUACUACAUUAACUUUCUGUUUAUCAUGAGUACAGAGUACAAUUGCUUUUGGAUGCUUAAUGUCCAUCAUCAGAGUCCAAAUCUUUUAAAAUACACAUGAAUACUUAUCAAGUGUUACAUCAUAUACAAAUUCAUAUUCUAAAAUUUAAAUUUGAACAUUGGCAUUCUUAAUCUUUUAUAGCACUUUUUAUGCGACUUUCAAAAAUAUCAGGAAUGUUUUUGAAAACAUUUCCGAUGAUUGAAUGUAAGUUUUAGAAGAAGCAUUCGAAUACAAUUUAACAUUUAACAGGAAUUCGGAACCUAUUUUGUGAGAUUUGGAAUCUGACAAAGGACGAGAAGCACCAAAAAGCAUUUAGUAGAAAAAUUGAUCAUACUCCAUGGCAUUCAGAAAGCUAAUGUGGUAAUUAUAUUUAUUUUUAAGUGCUAAUGCAGUCAUAUGUUGUGUUGACAUCAUUUAAAUGUUUGUCUAUCAAAAGACACAGAAUAAGAAAAAAUCCAGAAAAACAAUAAAUGUUUACAGUUGCUUUUGGCAACUAUGACUUGUUCUGUGUCUUUUAAUACUUGAAUCCAGUUUAUUGGACUAUUUGUACAAUUGUCUAUCAAGUGUUGUUGAAAAUUUAAUAGGCCAGUGUUUAUUUUACAAAAUAUUGAAAUUUUAUCUAAUGAUUUUUAUAUUUUUUAGCAUAUAUUAAUUUAUUUUUGAAAUUUUUGGGGUAUCCCCAGGUAUCAUUGUUAAUUUUUUUUAGCAAACUCUGAAGGGUUUAAAUUCUGCUCUGCAUUGGCAAUCUAGGAUCCCCCAAUAUGAUGCCAAAUUAAACUUUGACAUUCUUACUACAGUAAUGAGUUUAUAAAAGAUUGAUUUGGGGCUCCAGGCAACUGUCCUUUUUGCCCAUAGGAUAACAUGCCAUCGGCUACAUUUCCAAACAAGAACAUAAAUAAUAGUACUGAUGUAUUGUCUGUUGGAUAUUCUGCAUGCUAACAUUUGUGGUCCAGUGUUCCUUAGUGCCAUGCUUCUAUUCUGACAAAUAUCUUGGAACAAGUAGAUUUGGUCCACUGGUUUAUAAAACUAAAGGUUAACAAUAAUGUAUUUACACUACAGGAGAAUGAAUUAUGAAAUUAUUUAUUUAAAUAACUUUUAAAUGUCAGAACUUUUAAUUUUAUUUUAUCAAAUGUGAAAAUGAUUGGACUAUUUUAAUAAUAAAAAAUUUUUGUAUAGCUUUGAAAAUUCUAAAUUUUGAUGAAAUAUUGAAAAAUACCAUUUUUAAAAAUUUAUCUUCACGGCUGUUAUGGGUUGUUAAUCAGUUCCUAUAAAUUUGUUAUUACUGGACAGUUUUAAUGUAUUAAUAUUAAACUUCAAUAGUGUCAUUGGUUAUAUCAUACGAUAUCAGUUAGUGUCGGCAGGUAUGUAGUACAGGUUGGAUGUAAAUCCAAUCUAAACCAUCAUGAUUUUUAAUAUAUAUAUAUAUAUAAUGGCUUUAUAUAAUAUUUUAUAAUACAUAUCAUAUCAAUAGUAUUGAAUAAGGUUUUUGAAUGAAUCAGAAAGAUUAUUCAUUGGAAAAUGAAUCAUUAUAUUAUCAUUUAAAACUGAUGUUCUUUGAGUGUUUGUUUUUUAAUAUCGAAAACCUUGAUGGCUGGAUAUUUAGCUGAUUCCUCUAGCAUUUCAUUUUGAGGUAUCCUCUUUUGAUCCUGGUUAUAUGGAUUUGGAGAUAUUGAUCCCUUUGCCUCAUCACAAGCCAGCCAUUAUGAGUCUUGUAUGAUGGAUGUGAGACCUUUUAGGGGCUCACAAAAGGAAAGUAAAUAGUUUUAAAUUUGAUCAUUUUUGAUACAGUAAACUUUGCUAAGUCAAACUGCAUUAACUUGAAGUAUGCAGUUUGAAUUAUUAACUUGAAGUAUGCAGUAUGAAUUAUUGUAUAUAAACACUUGAAGUUCUAAAGAACCCAAUAUGGGUUGUUUAAACCUUCAAGUGUUUAUAUACAAUAAAUCUGAGUUAAAAUUACUGUUACUUAUACUCUUUGUCUAGGUUUGAGUUAUGUUAAACUCUAUGCUAAAUGUUGCAUAUAAUAAUAAAGUAAAUGCUGUCAGACAGUGUUAAAAUAAAAGAAUUUUAAUGCCAUCUGACAAUGUGUUUACUUUAUUUAUUAUUAUACUUGAGCCUAUUUUCCCUGUGUAUCUUCCACCUUUUGUAGGUCCAUGAUCAUUUUCUCUUAUAUUAUGUACAAAUACAGAUGAUUAGGAUAAACAAACACUAUGAUUCCAUGCUAAACAUAACACCAUGCCAUUACAACCUUGUAUCAGCAUCCUUUUACUGAUGUAGUAUAUUAUUGGUGUUCUACACAAAGUACUCAAAAGCAGCAUAAACUAUGUACAGUUUUGUAAUCAAUCUGUGAACAGAUUCUUGAGAAAUAACUUAAUAACGGGAGAUUUACAGUUACAGAAAAAUUUGAGAAUAAACCGAUUUUCUCAAGUUAAUCAAUGUAUUAACUCGAUACUCUUUAAUUUAAAGUCAGGAUGUUUUUAUUUGUUAAAAGUCAAUGUAAUGCAGCUUUAUGGUAAUAGCAAACGUGUCUUUAUGAUUGAAUGAAUGUUUUUGUGUCUAUCUGUUUCUUACUUAUGAUAGUUUUAGAAUUCCAGAACUUAGACAGUUUUAGAUUUGUAACUGUCAAUGUUCUAGUAAUUAUUUUGGCAUUUUAUUUAGUCUUUUGUAAAGUGCUAUUGAUUUUAAUACUUAACUUUUUCGAUCACUUUUAUCGACAAAACAAUAUAAAAUGCAUCUUAUAAUCAAAUAAGCUGGGUUCAUUAUCUCUAUACAUUUUGGCUAAUUAAAUAGGCAAAUGCUACAUAGUAAAAACUAAAGGUAAACAAUUAAGUUGCCAUCCUCUAUUACAUUUAAUAAUUGGGCUACAAUUUUCAAAUUGCAGACUAUAAAUUCCCACUGUUGUUUGUCUGUCCUUCAUUAAUCUCGAACAGAAUUAAAUAGAUGAAAAUCGAGACUAGUUACAGAAAGCUUAGGGACCAGAGGCCCAGACUAUAUAUGAACUUCUGGUUUGGACCAGCAGUCACACAAUAUCAAUUCAAAAACUUUUGUUUUACUAUAUAGAACAAUAAAUAUUGUAUAGGAUUUAUUCUUCUAAUUUAAAUUAAAACAUCAUUAAAAAUUGCAAUAGAGAAUUGUGACAAUGUCACAAUAUGUAAAUUUAAUUAAUUUAGAAUAUUCUGGAAGAUCAAUCCGGAGUAGGAUUCAAACCCCCAACUCCUGCUUAGGGCUUGUUGGAAAUGCUAAUGGAUGAGACUGGACAUAAUUCAAACUGAAUAUUAGCAUUUCCGAACAAACUGUUAUUGUACGGUGAGGAUUUGUUUCUUCGUUUGUUGGUUUGAAUCGCGCUCUCAACCAAUCUCUUCUUCUGGCUUAAUCACCUACCUUUAAUCAAAACUAUGUAGCAUUUUGUAUAUAUAAUUAGCCAAAAUGUAGCUAGAUAAAGAAUCCCUCUUAUUUCAUUAGUAAUUUGGGCUUGGUUUCUAAUGUGCACUUUGUAAGAUAGAUUAUUUUGGAAUUUGCUGCAUUUCUUUGAAUUACAUAAAAUCUUGUAUUUCAUUAUUGAAUCUCAUGAUCUGCUGUUAUUACUUCAUUAAAUGACAGAAUUGAAAAUAGAAUUUUUUCAUAAAAUGUGCAGAAUUUGCAUCAAAAGUCAGUAUUACAAUUUUUACUUUUACUAAGUUUUCUAGUCAAAUUUAUUCACAACUCAUUUCAUUAAUUUUGUUUUUCAAUUUAGGAUACAAGAUGGAGCUGGACCAGGGUGCCUGAUCUCCAGUUACGUGAGGAACAGCACAAACGUGUCGAGAGUGUCACUUGUCACGAACUCGUUCGGUGAAUGAAUUAGUACCACGUGACAUUCUCGACACAUUCAUGUUACUUACAUAACUGAAGACUCGACAUCCAGAUUAGUGGUUCGCUCUUCUCCAAGUCAUAAAAAUGUACAAGUAAAAUAAAUAAGUAGCUUUAAAUUUUGGCAGUCUCUAUGCCAGAUGGUCAGAAAGUCUCAUCUUGUUUAAUCAGUCUUAAAUAAUCUUACUAUAUGCCUUGGUUAAUUGACUUUUGGACUGUCUUGUAUCUCUUUAUAUGGGCCUACUAUUUAUUUAUACAUUAUUUUUUACUGUAAUUUUUAUUAAAUUUUCAAAGUGCAAUUAAGUAUAUUUGGCAAAGUGUUUUGUAUUGAAGAAUACUUGUUGAGAAAAACAGUUAUUUUCUGUUAGAAGUCCAUUUUUUGAUCUGAAAUUUUAAUUUUGAGUUACUGCAUUAUUUAAACAUCUAGUCUCAUUGUAGUUUCAAUAAAUUGAAUAGUAAAUCUUAUCAAAAUUCCUAUUUAAUACAAAUUUUUUAUAAAAAAACAUUUUUUAUAAAAAAUGUAUUAGAUAUUGUGAUUUCUCUUAGUUUUAAUUUUCAUAUUUUAUCCAUUAUUUGUUAUAAUUCUUGAGUAAGUAUCCAAUUAAAACAACCAACCUUACUCGAUUUCAUAAAUCAAAACUUCAAAUUUGGACAAUCAAUCCAUUUAUUGAUGGAUUAUUUUUCUCAAAAUGUUUAUAAAAAUAUUCUGAAAUUGUAUAAAAAUAUAUUUUGCUAUAUAAUUGAGUACUUAUUCUAUUUGAUAUCUAUGUGUGUGUGCACUGCUUAACGAUGGAAAUACAUUCCGAGAAAUGCAUUGUUAAGCGAAUGUUAUAGCGUAUACUUAGACAAACUUGUACAUAUUUCUACCCCACGAUCUUAUAAAUAAUGCCAUAACACACACACAGCAAUCUGGUGUUAAUCUGAGUGUUAAGGAGAUAUUUAACUUCUUUAUAGUAUUAUUUAGCACACUGAUGGGUUAGGUAUUAUAUGGUGCACAUUGUUAAAUAUUACACAGCACAUUAUGAUUAUUUACAGAUGUUUUAGGUGUUUAUAAGCUGUGUUUAUCAUGUUUCUAUCAAGUUUUAUCUGAAUGUGAAUUAUUCUAUAAAUGUAACUGCUGUUUGUUAUAUUUUGUUUUUAUUCUAAAUGAAGUUGAGUAUAAUUUAUCAUAAUUUACAUAUGAUUUUAAAUUACUCACAUUUUAUGAAGUAAUUUUAUGUUAAAUGUAGUUUUCAUUAUACAUAGGGUACUUAUUAGCAAGACGGUGGAGUUGGAAUUAUUAAAAAUGUACUGACUCCAAUCUGAAUGUAAACUUACAGAUAAUAAGCGGUAACUUAGCGUAAUGAUUUGUGUGGUGGCAAUGAAAAUUAAUUUUAAAUGGUAGCUUGAGACAAUACAUAUUAAUAAUGGUUCUAUAACCUUUUGAGCUGUUGCAGGGUUGAAUUUGGAAAUAUUUAAAAACUGAAAAGGUGGAGUUGACAAUUUUGUAUACCAACUCCACAGCUUCACUUGCUGAAAUAUAAGCUGUAAAUUUACUUAACUGUGCAUAUAUAUGGUAGAACUCAGAUUAUCUGAACCACCACUUGCCCUCUUCUCUCUCUCACUGAUGUUCCCAUGAAUGCAACUCCAAUCUUGUCUGCAAACUUGCAGAAACAAAAAUGUCUUGUUCUUGCCAUGACAGACAAUGUUAACAUUGUCAAUGUAUGAAAAUUAUGUUGCUGAUAAACAUGGUCUGGGAGCAGAUAAUGUUUCAACAUUAAGGAAUAUGGUGACAAUACUGAAGUUUACUGUGGCAGAUUCAAAUGAUCAAAUAAAUAUAGUACAUGUACAAUACUGUGCUGCCACCCUGUAAUUUCAUUCUUUACAUGAUAAUCCACUUAUCCGAAUCAUACGCAGAACAAAUCAAUUUGGAUAAUCAGAGUUCUACUGUAAUAUCAAUUUUAUGUACAGAAAUUUUUUUAAGUAUUGUAAAAGGUAUAUGUUUGAUGACAAAAUAUUUUAAUAUCAAUUUAACUGUGGUAAUAUAUGCUUUGUUAUUGCAUUUUUGUAUAUUUAUAAUAAAUAAUAACUAUGUAUCAUUAUGUAUGGGAAAAUUAUGAAUGCAAAUAUCAUUGUACAAAAGAUAAAACUGUGGAAAGCAAUUUUGUGAUUCUUCUGUUUUUUUAUUUAAGUCUAAAAAAUGUAUAAUUUAUGAAACAAGUUUCAUGCCAAUAUCACUGAACAAUAUUUGGCCAGAUGGCCUGAAUGGAUUUGAACUCGAUUUCUGACUGUUGAAAUGUCUUACAUUCUAUUGCUAUGCAGAUUCUGGGUUCAAAUUCAGUCUAAAUCUUAUGUUUUAUGGGUGUUUUGGGAUGGAGCAUUGUUCCCUAUCCUUCAUCCACUCUAACCUACCUUAAUUACAGGUCAGGCCACUUAUAAGGAGUAAACUGUACACUCGUAAAUCUCAUUGUGCAAGUGAAUAGGAUUGAAUUUAUAAGAGGCACAUUCUAUUAUAAAUUAUAGAAAUUGAAUUGACUACUUUUUAUUAUGUAUAUAAAAUUUCAGUGCACAUAUUUUUCUUACAAACUCUUUUCUGUAUCAAAUUGGAAUAAUUUGGUGGAUUGUUAAGGUUUAGUCUUACUUGCACGAGUACUGUGGCUCUAAUCCCUCAACUAGAUCACACGACAGUAUAUGUAGCGAGAAGAUCUGGCUAGGCCAUAGAGGAAACAAUCCAAUCAUAUUAUGAGACUGCAGUCAAUAGAAAUAACAAAUCUGAAAGGAUUAGUACCCAAAAUUACAUUUAAUGGUAGUUUGCAACAAUAAAAUUCUUGUAAUUGGCAUAUUUUUUUGUCUUUUAGACAGAUCCUGCAAGUCUGCAGUACGUUCUUGUGCAUAACUAGAGCACCUAUAGAAAAGUAUUGCUAUUUAGUUGAUGCAUACAUUUGGUUUUUUUGCACAAAAAUUUUAUUACUGAGAAUAACAAUACCAUCUUUAAAUGAACACUUUUUAACCUUUUUACUUUAAAAAAAUUGUGUGAGACAUCCAGGAGUAUUUAGUAUCUUUACUAUGCUUAAUACUGUUGUAUUUUAAUAUCCUAAAUACAAAUAGUGAUUUUAGAACCUAAAGAUUGACUUGUAACCACAAUUGGCAUUCAAUUUACUAUUUACUGUUAUGUUUAUUGUUUUGUAGUUACAACCAAAGUGAGCGCUCAGGUACCAUUCCCGUGAUGCAUCAGCAACGAUCGCCAUCUGGCGGACUCACUAAUAUUUUACAUUUCAACGUCUCCAAUACAAUACACAUUACAAUAUAAUUAGACACACAAAGCUCUGGGUACACAUACAAGAUAUAGGACAUUUCAUGUUUAGUCAAGUUUAACUGGUUCUAAAAAACAGAUAACAUACCUGAAACCAAUGUUAAAUAAUAAUAGGCAGUUUUAUUGAACAAAAGUACUUCUAAUUUUAAUAGCAUUUUCUUUAGAAGUGUGGUUUCUCUUCAGUAAAGUUUUAGAGUUAUUUUAUUUUUUUGUAGCAUUUUCAUCAAAUUCUCAUCUUUUAAAAUGGAAUCAAAUGUAACUUAUGUAGAACAAAAUAUUUAUAUUUGGGAAAUUAUUCAAACUGUUUAAAUUCUUAUUUAGCAACAGCAAACCUUUUUUCCAAAGGCAGAUCAAAGUCUAAUUACUUCAAAUUGCAGGUCAAAUAUUUAAUUUAUUUUACUAUAUUUUUCAGAAAAAUAAAAAAA